UGCAUUUACACAACUGAACUGAUAUAAAGAAGUCAAAACAUUGAAAGAACUUCAGGCACUCAGGGACUUCAUAGCACAUCAUAAGAUAUCAACAUCAACUGAAUUUAUUAUCUUACUCUGAGUCCAAACAAUACCUGACCGGAAAGACACGACAGAAGUCCAAAUUUGCCAAAAUUAAAUAUGAAGGUUGAAGCAAUUCAGUUAAACUUCUGACUCUUCUUUUUCCUUUUCCUUCAAAAUGCUGGAGACUUUGCAUUUUCUGGCAAAAAGUCGCCUAGUGACACAGAAUUCCCUUCACAGGUGUACUUUAGGCAAAUGGAAUCAUACAGGUUUUCAGCCAGGAGCCGAAAUCAUUUAGAUGACAUUCCUUCUCCUCCAUUAAAGCAAAUUAAUGAAAGGAGGACAGGUGGACCGACUCCAAGAUUCUGAAUGAAGAAGACAAAUAAUAAAUUUAUAAGGCUGUCCUUUCUGACUGAAUUA
Molecule: long non-coding RNA, 480 nt
Filed under: Junco hyemalis (dark-eyed junco)
Lineage: Eukaryota; Metazoa; Chordata; Aves; Passeriformes; Passerellidae
Description: lncRNA (ENSJHYG00000017178.1)
Source: RNAcentral